Molecule: transfer RNA, 74 nt
Filed under: bacterium
Lineage: Bacteria
Description: tRNA-Pro
Rfam family: tRNA
About the family: Transfer RNA (tRNA) molecules are approximately 80 nucleotides in length.
Source: RNAcentral
CGGGGCGUAGCGCAGCCUGGUAGCGCGUACGGUUCGGGACCGUAAGGUCGCUGGUUCAAAUCCAGUCGCCCCGA